GUGACAGCACGAUUGAGCCGUUAAUGAAUUAGACUGUGCUGCAGGGGGAACAUUUCCCUGCCUCUCAGACUUUCAGGGAUUCUUACAGGGUCACAAAAAGUCUGCAAAAGAGCUGGGAAUAGAACUUUGCUCUCCCCACCAGAACUCUGCUAGAGACAGAACCCUGCCCUUCCGAGACCCUCGCAGGGGGAGCCCUUCUCCUGCCCAAGCUCCAUCACCAGUCUGUUUUGGAGAGAAAUGUGGGGGUCUCAUUUAAAACGAGACGAUGUGCUAAUUGCCCACGUGCUGAGGGCUCCUUACAGCGAGGCGCAGGGGCUGUUCUCUUCUGGGCCAGGCUGUGUUGCUGCAGCAGCCAGAGUACCGCGGGGGAACUAAUAAUACACCAUUCCCAAAUACGGCUUUGUGUACGUUUCCACUGGUGAUGUUGGAGCAAUCUGUAUUUUGGAAAAAAAAAAGCUGCUUCCCAAACGUUCAAAACAGAUUCUUCAUGCAUCGCUUUCUAAUACACAGGCAUGAAAAUAGCCACUGGACAUAAUGUCCUCUCCUAAAAAGACAGUACCAAGAUGUGGAGGCUUAAAUGCGACAGCCAUAAAUUAAGGUAUCAGCUAAGAGGCACGCUCUGUUUCCAAGUGUGGCUAUUUCCAGCAAUGCCGGUUUUGAUCUGUUCUGGGGUCUCCAGCUUGCUGUGAGGGCCUGGGAAGAGUCAAGCUAACGAUGUGGAGGGGUGGAGUCGUGCGUGGGAUUGGUGACUUGGAGUGGGGAGCGCUCCCUCAAACACUGCUGAGUAGAGCCACCAGGGUACACAUAAUGGAGAAUGCGGGCAUAGCUUUCCAUGGCCUGGGGAGAAGCCUGGGUCUUGCUGCUUUGGUGACAUGGAAAGGAGAGCAGCAGCCGCAACAGGGCCUGACAACUACACUUGCAGCAGCAGCAGCAGCAGCAGCAGCAGCAAACGUCAUUCCAGCAGAAGCAUCAAGAGGAUCAUCAGCAAUUCAUGCUCAAAAUGGUGGCUUGGGACCCCCACAUUCUAGAGGUUGGUGCAGGUUGCCAGUGUGAGAAGAGGAGCCCUCACUAAGAUGGGACCAGAGGAUGACCUGGAGUCAUUCCGAGAGACCUUUGAGCAGGUGGCUGAGGCCUGUUGACCCCAGUAUUGAGUUUUGUAUUGACUUCCACAAAGUACAUGCAGUUGCUAAAUUUGAUGCAUAGCAUAUGCUUAGGAUUGAUGAGAUGCUAGAUGAACUGGGGCAGGCCCAAAACCUAACAAUGCUGGCCCUUACUAGGGGUUAUUGGCAAAGCCCCUUCAUAGAAUCAUAGGGUUGGAAGGGACCUCAGGAGGUCAUCUAGUCCAACCCCCUGCUCAAUGCCAGACCAAUCCCCAGAUAGAUUUUUACCCCGGUUCCCUAAAUGGCCCCCUCAAGGACUGAGCUCACAACCCUGAGUUUAGCAGGCCAAUGCUCAAACCCCUCAGCUAUCCCUUCACCCCAGAGCUGACUGCACAUGCCACACCUAAUGGCCUCUACCAAUUCCGAACCCUGCUGUUU
This 1538-nucleotide long non-coding RNA is filed under the name Gopherus agassizii (Agassiz's desert tortoise). RNAcentral describes it as "lncRNA (ENSGAGG00000014539.1)". The record is from RNAcentral. Lineage: Eukaryota; Metazoa; Chordata; Testudines; Testudinidae.